This 786-nucleotide ribosomal RNA is filed under the name Triticum aestivum (bread wheat). Its description in RNAcentral is "partial small subunit ribosomal RNA". The record is from RNAcentral. Lineage: Eukaryota; Viridiplantae; Streptophyta; Magnoliopsida; Poales; Poaceae.
AUGGACGUGCACUCAGCUCCGUCUUGCCCUGCCGACGCGAGGGCACCUGUUGAGCAUCUAAUAGGGCAGUUUGCAUCUGGAAUGACCGGCUUGCUCGGGAAGUUGGUUGAGGGUUCCCAAGAGCCCGCUGACACACAAGAUGAACUAGGUGGAGAUGCUGGUCUCAGCAAGGAUCACGACGAUGUCAUGGAGAAUGUGCAAGAGGACACCGAUGAUGAUGAUCAUGCUGAAGUUCACGCAGGUGGUAACAAGGGCAAGGAUGCAACAGAUGUCCCCCGACCGGAGAAAGUCAAACAACACACGGCUGCGAGAGGCGAGGGGGUUUUGCCAUCAAAGAGGGGGAGGGCUCCAGAGGGUGUUGGGCAGGGUUCUGCUGGCAAGAGGUCUAGGACCGACCCCGUAGCUCGCGGCAACGACGAGCCGACAGCUGGUGGACAAGCAGUUACGAAGAAACAGGCGCCAACGCCAACCCGUGUUUCUGCUCGGUUGAACAAAGGCGCCCCCAUUGCCGGUGACACCCCUUCCAUCAGGUCAUCUCCUCGCACGACGAUGACCAACAUCGGGGAUCCUGUCGUGUUGCCAGACAUGAGGAAGGUAGUCAAGAAGGUGAAGAAGACUACUACGCGCGGGGCCAAGCAUAUCAGUAAGGACCCGCUCGAACGCCUGCAUUCAAAGUUGUCAAUAGGGGGCAACUCAGAUGUACAUGAAGCACCAGGCGACAAUACUGCUGCUGCACCAUUGACCGCUCCCACCAACUCUGAUAGGCAUCCGUACAGCGGGGAGUGA